Molecule: ribosomal RNA, 1386 nt
Filed under: metagenome
Description: bacterial LSU rRNA
Rfam family: Bacterial large subunit ribosomal RNA
Source: RNAcentral
AAAUGCUAGGCAGCAGCCAAGGGAAAUCCUCACGGAGGAACUUAUGGCAUGGCGCAAUGCUUCCAAGAAAUAAACUCUAGUUGUUGAUGGUGACCGUACCAAAACCGACACAGGUGGAUAAGAAGAAGAUUCUAAGGCGCGCGAGAGAACCCUCGUUAAGGAACUCGGCAAAUUAUCCCUGUAACUUCGGGAGAAGGGGAACCACUGAUUGUGAUUAUCUUCGCGAUAUGAGCAUUCGGUGGUCGAAGAGAAAUGGCUCAGGCGACUGUUUAACAAAAACACAGCACUAUGCAAAGACGACCAAGUCGAAGUAUAUGGUGUGAUGCCUGCCCAAUGCCAAAAGGUCAUAAGGAGGUGUUAGUUCUUCGGAACGAAGCACUGAAUUGAAGCCCUGGUGAAUGGCGGCCGUAACAAUAACGGUCCUAAGGUAGCGAAAUUCCUUGUCGGGUAAGUUCCGACCUGCACGAAUGGUAUAACGAUCUGAGCGCUGUCUCAACGAGGGACUCGGUGAAAUUGUAGUAGCGGUGGAGAUGCCGUUUACCCGCAACAAGACGGAAAGACCCCGUGAACCUUUACUGUACUCUGAUAUUGGCUCUUGAUUUAUCAUGUGUAGGAUAGCCAGGAGGCUUUGUAGUCCCCUCGUCAGGGGGGAUGGAGCCAACGUUGAAAUACUGGCCUUGAUAAAUCGGGAAUCUAACGAGAUCCUCUGAAUCGAGGAUUCGGACAUUGUCAGACGGGCAGUUUUACUGGGGCGGUAUCCUCCUAAAGAGUAACGGAGGAGUCCAAAGCUCGCCUCAUCGUGGUUGGCAAUCACGAGUCGAGCGUAAAGGUAUAAGGCAAGUUGACUGUGAGACCAACAAGUCGAACAGAUACGAAAGUAGGGCUUAGUGAUCCGGCGGUGGAAAGUGGAAUCGCCGUCGCUCAACGGAUAAAAGGUACUCCGGGAUAACAGGCUUAUCGCCACCAAGAGUUCAUAUCGACGUGGCGGUUUGGCACCUCGAUGUCGACUCAUCGCAUCCUGGGGCUGAAGAAGGUCCUAAGGGUUUGGCUGUUCGCCAAUUAAAGCGGUACGCGAGUUGGGUUCAAAACGUCGUGAGACAGUUUGGUCCCUAUCUGUUGUGGGCGUAGGAUACUUGAGAGGAGCUGCUUCUAGUACGAGAGGACCGAAGUGGACGAACCAAUGGUGUUCCGGUUGUUCUGCCAAGAGCAUUGCCGGGUAGCUAAGUUCGGAAAGGAUAAGCGUUGAAAGCAUCUAAACGCCAAGCCUCCCUCAAGAUAAGGUAUCCCAAUGAGACACCAUGUAGACUACGUGGUAGAUAGGUUGGGUGUGUAAGCACAGCAAUGUGUUGAGCUAACCAAUACUAAUUAGUCCAACGGCUUGACCAC